RNAcentral lists this long non-coding RNA (1250 nucleotides) under Sus scrofa (pig). Its description in RNAcentral is "lncRNA (ENSSSCG00015066892.1)". Lineage: Eukaryota; Metazoa; Chordata; Mammalia; Artiodactyla; Suidae. The record is from RNAcentral.
CGCUACCUGGCGCUGCCUCUGCGCUGGGUCCCCGCAUCCAGCACUGGCCGCAGGGACAGCGGCCCCUCCUCUCCCCCGGCCGGUGUCAAGUGCCUCCCCCCUGGCAGCCCGCGGAGCCCCCGGCGGCCUUCGCCCUGCAGUUCUCCCGACCUCCACCAGAGCCCACUGCACUCUGCCUGCCUCAGCACUGGGGCUGGGGACAGCAGCGCCGGCCCAUCCUCGCUGCAACCCCACGCCACCCGCCACCCCCUCCAGGUGCCGCCGCCGAGUGGAGGCCAGCCCACUCAAGAGGGCCAAGGUCGGGGCGCCAGGCCCAUUCAGGCGUCUUGGAGACCCAAGCACCCCUAUGGGAUGAGCCCCCUUUAAGGUAGUGAGUUCCCCGUACCUUGAGGUGUCCAAGUGGAGUUGAGUGCCCUCAGUUGGUCAGUGGAAGACUGAAAGACUUCAGGAGUGGGAGGUGGAACUAAAUGACAUUGAAAAUCCCUUCCAGCUCUAAGAUUCUGUGCACACCUACACUCCACCCUCGUGCUUACUCACCCCUUUACCGUGGGGGUUGUUCUCAUUUCCCAUAGAGUUUCCAGGGCUCCAGGUUUCUGACUUGGGGCAUCUCUGUCUCCUUCCAUCAGCACAGUCAUCCUCUGCUCAUCACUCUCCCAACUGCUACCUCUAGGGGCUUGGCGCUGCCCCCCCCCAACUCCUGACUCCCCAGUCUGGCUCCCCCUUCUGCCUUUGUGUCUACCAGUCAUCCCCCACUGUGUACCCCCAUCCCACCUAGUGCCUCAACUAUGUGGCAGUGCCCUGAGCUCCCUGCCCAGGACAUGGUGUGCUUCCUUCUCCAGGCACCCCCCAUCCCACUUGUGGGCACCCAGGCCCUCACUGCUGAAACCAGUCCUACUUUCCCCUCUGCCCCCAGCAACGUCAACCCUUCAAGGGUCGCAGGAACUAAGUUACCUAACUCUUUGGAACACGGAGUUGACCUUUCAUCUAAGAGAUUCUCCUUUCGGAAGCGCUCCAAUGCUUCUGGGUCCGUCAGUCUGCCACUCCCCAUGCCUCAAGGUCACAGGCCACUCUCCACACAGUUGUCUGGCCUUUUUCAGUGUCAACCUCAGUCAAGUGGCCACCCCAUGCCACUAAUGUCAGACCCUGCUAUCCAUGGUCUCCCCCUUGCCAGUUUCAGACACUUGCGAUAUUCUUCCCAAGAGGACAGAGACAGCCUCUGUCAUCUCUAUAGCCCAGCACUUGGCACAUAG